GUCUGAGUUGUAUACUGGUUUGAGCACUGGGCUACAACUCUGGAGAUCAGGGUUCGAUUCCCCACUCAGCCA
This is a non-coding RNA of Phrynosoma platyrhinos (Desert horned lizard), 72 nucleotides long. The record is from the annotation of a GenBank genome assembly. NCBI's taxonomy places the organism in Eukaryota, Metazoa, Chordata, Lepidosauria, Squamata, Phrynosomatidae.